UACAGAGGGGGCAAGCGUUGUUCGGAAUUACUGGGCGUAAAGGGCGCGUAGGCGGCCUUCUAAGUCGAACGUGAAAUCCCCGGGCUCAACCCGGGAACUGCGUCCGAGACUGAAAGGCUUGAAUCCGGGAGAGGGAUGUGGAAUUCCAGGUGUAGCGGUGAAAUGCGUAGAGAUCGGGAAGAACAUCAGUGGCGAAGGCGGCCUGCUGGGCUGUUGCUGACGCUGAGGCGCGACAGCGUGGGGAGCAAACAGG
RNAcentral lists this ribosomal RNA (253 nucleotides) under uncultured bacterium. Its description in RNAcentral is "partial 16S ribosomal RNA". It matches the Rfam family "Bacterial small subunit ribosomal RNA", at positions 524 to 776 of the family's 1533-position model. The record is from RNAcentral.